CAACGAGUUGAUGUAGGCCUUUCCACGAAUCAUAAAGCGUGCGAUCGUAUAUGGCUCGAUUCAAUGCACGACAUAUAAACAAUACAAUGCAUGGCCUCGAUGAACUUGUCCGAUCAUGGGACAAAAGACAACUUGCUGCACGCUUCGAAUGAAUCUAUUUGAUUUGCCUGGUCUGAUCGAUCUAGAAGAAAAGAAAGGAAGACAUGACACAUUCGAUCAAAACUGGGACUUGCAUGAAACAGGUUGACACCACCUUUUGUUUCCUCCUCUCUCCACAAGCUCCUCUUUGCUCCAUUUUAGCGUGUAGGGCCGACUUGACAAGAGUGGAGCACUGGAUUGAAGGGAUAAGGAAGGCUUUUACCAUUUGUUUGAAUCCAUGGGACUGUCAAAGCCUUUCUUUCCCCUUUUCAUCUUGAUGAUAAGAACAGGAGGACAUGCUAUGUAGGACUCGAGUGACCUCAAACCGUGUGCUUAACGUACGACACAUCAAAUCCAUUCCCAUAAUCGAUUCAUCAGACUCACCUGUUCCCUACCAAAUAUAUGAUCACCGUAUACCGGAUUAAGUCUACACUUUCUGCAGACUUCAGACUGCAGCUUUGCCUCAAUGGUGACACUGCAUGCCUUGUCUUGAGGCUAUCGCUUUUAGCUCCAUUUCUCAGAUGGGUACUCUUCCCGCAGUCGCUGCUGCAGUCACCAGCUCGAUAGCUUUUCUCUUGCAAGCAUUGGGACUGCAGCACCUACUCCAAGUGGCACCAACCUGUGUGGGGACGAUGGUGAUGACAGUGCUGUCAAUGAGGGGUUGUGUUAACCUACUCGACAUGUUUCCCUUCCAUGGCAAUAUCAUGGGGAUGGGAUCAUGUACGCUAUAAUGCAUGCACCUCCUGACGUCUAUAUCUGGAACACCGCGCGCAGGCCGCCAUUUACUCCACGUCGAACCAGCUUGCGUCGUC
Molecule: long non-coding RNA, 950 nt
Filed under: Musa acuminata (dwarf banana)
Lineage: Eukaryota; Viridiplantae; Streptophyta; Magnoliopsida; Zingiberales; Musaceae
Description: long non-coding RNA (MACU_LNC005033)
Source: RNAcentral